GUCUAUGGCCAUGCCACCCUGAACAAGCCGGAUCCCGUCUGAUCUCGGAAGCUAAGCAGGGCUGUGCCUGGUUAGUACUUGGUUGGAAGACCCCCUAGGAAGACCAGGUGCUGUAGAUA
Molecule: ribosomal RNA, 119 nt
Filed under: Pteropus alecto (black flying fox)
Lineage: Eukaryota; Metazoa; Chordata; Mammalia; Chiroptera; Pteropodidae
Source: RNAcentral